RNAcentral lists this ribosomal RNA (1188 nucleotides) under Bacillus sp. (in: firmicutes). Its description in RNAcentral is "bacterial SSU rRNA". It matches the Rfam family "Bacterial small subunit ribosomal RNA", at positions 43 to 1246 of the family's 1533-position model. The record is from RNAcentral. Lineage: Bacteria; Bacillati; Bacillota; Bacilli; Caryophanales; Bacillaceae.
CGCGCAUCUAUCUGCAGUCGAGCGAAUGAUGAGGAGCUUGCUCCUCUGAUUUAGCGGCGGACGGGUGAGUAACACGUGGGUAAUCUGCCUGUAAGACGGGGAUAACUCCGGGAAACCGGGGCUAAUACCGGAUAAUAAGAGAAGAAGCAUUUCUUCUUUUUGAAAGUCGGUUUCGGCUGACACUUACAGAUGAGCCCGCGGCGCAUUAGCUAGUUGGUGAGGUAACGGCUCACCAAGGCGACGAUGCGUAGCCGACCUGAGAGGGUGAUCGGCCACACUGGGACUGAGACACGGCCCAGACUCCUACGGGAGGCAGCAGUAGGGAAUCUUCGGCAAUGGGCGAAAGCCUGACCGAGCAACGCCGCGUGAGCGAUGAAGGCCUUCGGGUCGUAAAGCUCUGUUGUUAGAGAAGAACAAGUACGAGAGUAACUGCUCGUACCUUGACGGUACCUAACCAGAAAGCCACGGCUAACUACGUGCCAGCAGCCGCGGUAAUACGUAGGUGGCAAGCGUUAUCCGGAAUUAUUGGGCGUAAAGCGCGCGCAGGCGGUCUCUUAAGUCUGAUGUGAAAGCCCACGGCUCAACCGUGGAGGGUCAUUGGAAACUGGGAGACUUGAGUGCAGGAGAGAAAAGUGGAAUUCCACGUGUAGCGGUGAAAUGCGUAGAGAUGUGGAGGAACACCAGUGGCGAAGGCGGCUUUUUUGGCCUGUAACUGACGCUGAGGCGCGAAAGCGUGGGGAGCAAACAGGAUUAGAUACCCUGGUAGUCCACGCCGUAAACGAUGAGUGCUAGGUGUUGGGGGGUUCCACCCUCAGUGCUGAAGUUAACACAUUAAGCACUCCGCCUGGGGAGUACGACCGCAAGGUUGAAACUCAAAGGAAUUGACGGGGGCCCGCACAAGCAGUGGAGCAUGUGGUUUAAUUCGAAGCAACGCGAAGAACCUUACCAGGUCUUGACAUCCUUUGACACUCUAGAGAUAGAGCUUUCCCCUUUCGGGGACAAAGUGACAGUGUGCAUGAUGUCGUCAGCUCGUGUCGUGAGAUGUGGUAGUCCCGCACGAGCGCACCCAUGACUAGUGCAGCAUCAGUGGGCACUCUAGUGACUGCGUGACAACGAGAGUGGGAUGACGUCAAUCAUCAUGCCGUAUGACCUGUCUAACACACGUGCUACAAAUGCAGUGUAAUCAAG